CCCGUGUGGAACAGCUGUCUGUGCUGUUCCACAGACACAAUGUGCCUGCAUUCCCAAGUGCCAGCAGCACCAGCGUCAAAGAGGAGAUUCAUUUUCCGGGAAUGACAUCGCUGGCCCUCGGAAGGGGUUUGGGCUGUUUUGGGCAGCAUCAGCGUGGAUUCCUUUUUGCCCGUCCCCAGCCGGUGCCAGCCCCGCUGGCCGUGCUCCCUGCGGCCCCUUCGUGCAGAGGAGGGAGAGCUGCGGAGAUUUAUUAACAGUGGGUUUGCUGACAGUGUUUGUCUGCACUCUUUCCCUCCUUUGACUCGCACGGCAGCGUCCGGUUUUUUGAUUUCCCCUUCUGUAGCUGUUUGCCUCAUAGGCAGGACCUGCCUCAUCUGGAAAUAAAGAUUAAAUGUUUUAA
Neopelma chrysocephalum (saffron-crested tyrant-manakin) is the source of this 400-nucleotide long non-coding RNA. RefSeq lists it as uncharacterized. The record is from RefSeq and is a predicted model, not a curated record. The transcript has 2 exons. NCBI's taxonomy places the organism in Eukaryota, Metazoa, Chordata, Aves, Passeriformes, Pipridae.